GAUGAACGCUGGCGGCGUGCUUAACACAUGCAAGUCGAACGGGAAACCUUUUAUUGAAGCUUCGGCAGAUUUAGCUGGUUUCUAGUGGCGGACGGGUGAGUAACGCGUGGGUAACCUGCCUUAUACAGGGGGAUAACAACCAGAAAUGGUUGCUAAUACCGCAUAAGCGCACAGGACCGCAUGGUCCGGUGUGAAAAACUCCGGUGGUAUAAGAUGGACCCGCGUUGGAUUAGCUAGUUGGCAGGGUAACGGCCUACCAAGGCGACGAUCCAUAGCCGGCAUGAGAGGGUGAACGGCCACAUUGGGACUGAGACACGGCCCAGACUCCUACGGGAGGCAGCAGUGGGGAAUAUUGCACAAUGGGGGAAACCCUGAUGCAGCGACGCCGCGUGAAGGAAGAAGUAUCUCGGUAUGUAAACUUCUAUCAGCAGGGAAGAUAGUGACAGUACCUGACGAAGAAGCCCCGGCUAACUACGUG
Molecule: ribosomal RNA, 478 nt
Filed under: uncultured bacterium
Lineage: Bacteria
Description: partial 16S ribosomal RNA
Rfam family: Bacterial small subunit ribosomal RNA
Source: RNAcentral